Long non-coding RNA from Magallana angulata, 1544 nucleotides. RefSeq lists it as uncharacterized. Lineage: Eukaryota; Metazoa; Mollusca; Bivalvia; Ostreida; Ostreidae. The record is from RefSeq and is a predicted model, not a curated record. The transcript is spliced from 5 exons.
UGCUGGAUGAGGUUUAGUUUUUAGCUCACCUGAGCUGAAAGCUCAAGUGAGCUAUUCUGAUCACAUUUUGUCUGUCGUCCGUCUGUCCGUCCGUCCGUCUGUCCGUCCGUCUGUCCGUCCGUCUGUCCGUCCGUGUUUACGAGAGUGCAUGUAUUGGGUUCUUUUUAUACUUAAUUGGUACUAAUUGGGUACUUUUUUCUUAUUGGGUAUACCCAAGAGGAAGUGUCGCUUAAUCUACUUAAAAUGCCUUAAUUGGGUACAUGAAAGUUAGUACCCAACAAAACUUAGACACUGCGACUUGUCCAGUAAAGUGUCUGAAAAAGUUGCUUCUAUGGACGCACCAUGUAUUCGCUUCUAUAUCAUACUUUCGGAACUCGAAAUUUAGCUAAGCUGCAGUCAUAUUAACUCCCGAGAUUUCCGAAAAGCAACUUCCGUUUAUCUUGUUCUUUCGAGCGUUUGAUUUCACACACAACAACAAUGGCGUCUGCAAGGCAUAGUGAGCACGAGGUCAAGAUCCAAAAAAUGGAUCAACUACCAAAAGAAGAAAAGAUGUGCUAAGAAGAUGCUGUAGCUGUUCUCCUGGAUGGGGGUGUUUAGUGGCCAGCAUGAUCCUUGACGGAAAAAAUGGUAGAGGAAGAAGACAUACAGGAAGAUGAAGAAGAGGAGACAUCACUUCGAGGAAAGAAAACCUUAAUCUACAUGAAUAAAAUGGACGAAGGCUGUACUGGAGGAGGUUAAGGAAUAUUUCAGAGAAUGUCUGAACGCAAACACCACUCUAGAAAGAAUAACUUGCAGUAUGGGGAUAGAGGAAAGCAGAGCUAAUCGAGGUUCCAUACUGUAUAGGCUAUGGGAAACUCUAAAGAAGAAAGUGUGGAGUCUGAUCCCCACAUUUUCAUUUACCUGGACAUUUGAUGAGAAUUUUGUUUGAUCAAGUCAAAUUAUUGCAAGAUUGCAAUUUAUUUAACAGUAUGGUAGUAUGGAAAUACUCGUAGUAUUUUCAUGGAUUUUCUUCAUUUGAUGAGAACUUCUUUUAUUAAAAGAACUGACAGCCAAUUUUUGUAAUUAAGGACUUGAUUCACUUAAGACAUCUUGUGCCUUUUGUCAUAAAUAUAUCUUUAUAUCAAAGCUUAGAUUAAUAUCUUUCUGUGUUUUGAAGAUAAAAAUAAAAGAAAGUGGACACCUCAUUAGUUCUGUAAUUACAUAUACUUCAUGGUAGAAGAAAUGAAGGUUUGUUGACAAAAUAUUUUCAUUAUAAUGCUUGAAUUUUCUUGAACUACGGCCAUGUUGCAAUUAUUUAAGAUCCAUGCUUAGAAAAAUUGCUUUCAUUUGCAUAACAGCCAGGUAGUUGCAAAAUGAUGGUACAUGUACCUUGAGCUAUCAUUAAUUUAUUUUUGUAAAGGUGUCUAGACCAGAUGUGUAGUGUUAGAAUUUCAGUAUUCAAGAAAAUUAAACUAUUUAAUGCUUAUGAAUGCCAAAUAUUUUAGUAUAGUUUCAUUAAGUUUAGAUCUCUUUGAAAAAUAAAAGCGAAAUGUUAUAUUAAAAUC